Molecule: ribosomal RNA, 389 nt
Filed under: Cylindrotheca sp.
Lineage: Eukaryota; Bacillariophyta; Bacillariophyceae; Bacillariales; Bacillariaceae
Description: partial small subunit ribosomal RNA
Rfam family: Eukaryotic small subunit ribosomal RNA
Source: RNAcentral
AUUCCAGCUCCAAUAGCGUAUAUUAAAGUUGUUGCAGUUAAAAAGCUCGUAGUUGGAUUUGUGGUGUACUUCGGCGGCCCGUCACUAUGUGGUGGAGCUUGCUGAAGUCGCCAUCCUUGGGUGGAUCCUGUGUGGCAUUAAGCUGUCGUGCAAGGGAUGCCCAUCGUUUACUGUGAAAAAAUUAGAGUGUUCAUAGCAGGCUUAUGCCGUUGAAUAUAUUAGCAUGGAAUAAUAAGAUAGGACCUUGGUACUAUUUUGUUGGUUUGCGCACCAAGGUAAUGAUUAAUAGGGACAGUUGGGGGUAUUCGUAUUUCAUUGUCAGAGGUGAAAUUCUUGGAUUUUUGAAAGACGAACUACUGCGAAAGCAUUUACCAAGGAUGUUUUCAUUA